Molecule: ribosomal RNA, 442 nt
Filed under: uncultured bacterium
Lineage: Bacteria
Description: partial 16S ribosomal RNA
Rfam family: Bacterial small subunit ribosomal RNA
Source: RNAcentral
CCUACGGGUGGCUGCAGUGGGGGAUAUUGGACAAUGGGGGGAACCCUGAUCCAGCGACGCCGCGUGAGUGAAGAAGUAUCUCGGUCUGUAAAGCUCUAUCAGCAGGGAAGAAGAAAUGACGGUACCUGAGUAAGAAGCCCCGGCUAACUACGUGCCCGCAGCCGCGGUAAUACGGUGGGGGGAAGCGUUAUCCGGAAUUACUGGGGGUAAAGGGAGGGUAGACGGGGAUGUAAGUCUGGAGGGAAAAGCGGGGGCCCAACCCCCGGAGUGCGGUGGAAACUGUGUGACUUGAGUGCGGGAGAAGUGAGCGGAAUGCGUGGUGUAGCGGUGAAAUGCGUAGAUAUUACGAAGAACGCCGAUGGCGAAGGCAGCUCACCGGAGUGUAACUGACGUUGAGGCACGAAAGCGUGGGGAUCGAACAGGAUUAGAUACCCCAGUAGUC